GAAGAAAUGACAUCAAAGAUGUACAAAGUUAUCAUCAGAAAAACAAUGAAGGCCAGGUGCGGUGGCUCACGCCUGUAAUCCCAGCAAUCUCAUCUCUACAAAAAAUAAAAAAUAAAAAAUCAGCCAGAUAUGGGAUCUUGCUAUGUUGCCCAGGCUGGUCUCAAACUCUUAGCACCAAGCAACCCUCCUGCCUCAGCCUCCCAAAUUCCUAGGAUUACAGGCACAUCACAGCCUUCUUGCUCUUAGGAACACUAGCCAGCACGAAAUCACUGUGCUUGGGGCCUUUUCAACAGCAAAAUCAACAGGAAGCACACAAAUGUGGCAAAAUGACACUAACUAGACCAUGCUAAGGAAGCUUGUUCACAGCGUGAGCCGAAACAAGAAAGCCGAGCAUCGCCUUGUUCCACCUCAGCUGGUAACGUGCAUUUGGGCAACUCAAAUCUUGUGUCACUCAUGCAUGCCUGUGAAUUACCUCAAAAGCACUGUCUCCAAGGAAUGCUGUUUCCUGCCUGUCGUGAGAGACACAAAGUGAACUUAGUGUUGGGAGAUGGAAGCUGGAUGGCUCUCAGGGGCUGACCCGCAGGGUGCCGGACUUCGGGAUAUAGCAGAGAGAGCUUGGCAUGACUUAUUACUCCAGGCUGUAGAAUCCUGGAAAAGAGCUACCAUGCAGCCUACACCUGGUCUACUGGAGGACCACCUUAGUGGAAACGAGACAAUCUGGGCCUCUGGCCUGCCAUGUGCACAAGAAUAACAAUUGCUUUUGUUUAACAUGCAGAAGGAAUAUUUGAUCAAUUUUAACCAGCUGCAGGCCUGAGUGGACUGCUCCCGGGAAGCCACUUUCAUGGCGUCCCCUCU
Molecule: long non-coding RNA, 855 nt
Filed under: Pan troglodytes (chimpanzee)
Lineage: Eukaryota; Metazoa; Chordata; Mammalia; Primates; Hominidae
Description: lincRNA
Source: RNAcentral